This 243-nucleotide ribosomal RNA is filed under the name uncultured Eubacteriales bacterium. RNAcentral describes it as "uncultured Clostridiales bacterium partial 16S ribosomal RNA". It matches the Rfam family "Bacterial small subunit ribosomal RNA", at positions 91 to 334 of the family's 1533-position model. Lineage: Bacteria; Bacillati; Bacillota; Clostridia; Eubacteriales. The record is from RNAcentral.
AUUAGCGGCGGACGGGUGAGUAACACGUGAGUAACCUGCCUUAGACAUUGGGAUAGCCUCGGGAAACCGGGAUUAAUACCAAAUAAAAUCAUAAUGACACAUGUCAUAACGAUCAAAACUCCGGUGGUCUAAGAUGGACUCGCGUCCCAUUAGCUAGUUGGUAGAGUAAAAGCCUACCAAGGCGACAAUGGGUAGCCGGCCUGAGAGGGUGAACGGCCACAUUGGAACUGAGAAACGGUCCAA